Molecule: non-coding RNA, 27 nt
Filed under: Mus musculus (house mouse)
Lineage: Eukaryota; Metazoa; Chordata; Mammalia; Rodentia; Muridae
Source: RNAcentral
UCCAAAUCUGUAUUCCCAGGUGCCAAG